UAAUACGUAGGAUCCGAGCGUUGUCCGGAAUUACUGGGCGUAAAGGGUGCGUAGGCGGCAAUGUGCGUCAGAGGUGAAAUCCACGGGCUUAACUUGUGGGGUGCCUUUGAUACGGCAUAGCUUGAGUACGAGAGAGGUCGAUGGAAUUCCUGGUGUAGCAGUGAAAUGCGUAGAUAUCAGGAGGAACACCGGUGGCGAAGGCGGUCGGCUGGCUCGUAACUGACGCUGAGGCACGAAAGCGUGGGGAUCAAACAGGAUUAGAUACCCUGGUAGUCCACGCCAUAAACGAUGUAUGCUUGGUGUUGGGUGAGUAAUCACUCAGUGCCGAAGGCAACCUGAUAAGCAUACCGCCUGGGGAGUACGAUCGCAAGGUUGAAACUUAAAUGAAUUGACGG
RNAcentral lists this ribosomal RNA (395 nucleotides) under bacterium enrichment culture. RNAcentral's name for it is "bacterial SSU rRNA". It matches the Rfam family "Bacterial small subunit ribosomal RNA", at positions 521 to 916 of the family's 1533-position model. The record is from RNAcentral.